GGUUGCCACUGGUCAUGGCUUGCCUGGGACUGAGGGUUUUCCCAGGAUGCAGGACUUUUAGAUCUUAAACCAG
This 73-nucleotide microRNA precursor is filed under the name Chlorocebus sabaeus (green monkey). Its description in RNAcentral is "miRNA (ENSCSAG00000023217.1)". The record is from RNAcentral. Lineage: Eukaryota; Metazoa; Chordata; Mammalia; Primates; Cercopithecidae.